UUUCAAUAAACAUUGCGAAAAGUCUCCCUUUUCGUAACGUUUACCAAAACAUUGCGAAAAGGGAGACUUUUCGCAAUGUUUUUUAC
RNAcentral lists this microRNA precursor (86 nucleotides) under Olea europaea subsp. europaea. Lineage: Eukaryota; Viridiplantae; Streptophyta; Magnoliopsida; Lamiales; Oleaceae. The record is from RNAcentral.